Molecule: ribosomal RNA, 580 nt
Filed under: Chlorella parva
Lineage: Eukaryota; Viridiplantae; Chlorophyta; Trebouxiophyceae; Chlorellales; Chlorellaceae
Description: eukaryotic LSU rRNA
Rfam family: Eukaryotic large subunit ribosomal RNA
Source: RNAcentral
UCGACCUGAGCUCAGGCAAGACUACCCGCUGAACUUAAGCAUAUCAAUAAGCGGAGGAAAAGAAAUCAACCGAGAUGCCCUUAGUAACGGCGAGCGAACCGGGCAAAGCCCAACUUGAAAAUCUCCAGCCUAUGGCUGGCGAAUUGUAGUCUAGAGAAGCGCUCUCUGCCCCACCCCGGCCCCAAGUCCCCUGGAAAGGGGCGUCAAAGAGGGUGAGAACCCCGUUGGGACCGGAUUUUGGGGCUCCACGAGACGCUUUCGUAGAGUCGGGUUGCUUGGGAAUGCAGCCCAAAGAAGGUGGUAAAUCCCAUCUAAGGCUAAAUACAGACGGGAGACCGAUAGCGAACAAGUACCGUGAGGGAAAGAUGAAAAGAACUUUGAAAAGAGAGUUAAAAAGUACUUGAAAUUGUUGAGAGGGAAGCGAUUGGAUCCUACGGGUGCGCCCAGGCACACGCCUGCCUAACGGUUGGCUGAAUGCGCUGGGUGCUGGUCAGCAUGGGUUGUCCGGGCGGGAUAAAACCGGGGGUUGUUACCCCGGCUAUGUCGCCUGGCCGACCGAGGAACGAAGGGCGCUCUUUGA